GGGGGGGGGGGGGGGGGGGGGGGGCGGGUGGGGGGCGGGGGGGGGGGGGCGGGUGUGGGGGGGUGCGCGGGUGUCGAACGGUUGGGUCACGCGUGGUUAGCCUGCCCGGGGCUUGGGGAUCCGGGCGGGGAACUGGGGCUGAGACCGGGGUGUAGCUUCUGCUGCAUUGUUGGAGUUGGACAGUUUCGGCGGUUGGGGAGGGAAUCGUGGCUUCUCCGCUUGGUGGUGGGGUAGUUGCUUACCAAGGCGUUGACGGGUAGCCGGCUUGAGUGGGUGAACGGCCACAUUGGGACUGAGAUACAGCCCAGGCUCCUACGGGAGGAAGCAGUGGGGAAUAUUGCACAAUGGGCGGAAGCCUGAUGCAGCAACGCCGCGUGCGGGAUGACGGCCGUCGGGUUGUAAACCGCUUUCGCCUGUGACGAAGCGUGAGUGACGGUAAUGGGUAAAGAAGCACCGGCUAACUACGUG
This 468-nucleotide ribosomal RNA is filed under the name uncultured bacterium. RNAcentral's name for it is "partial 16S ribosomal RNA". The stretch from base 49 to 468 matches the Rfam family "Bacterial small subunit ribosomal RNA", at positions 39 to 507 of the family's 1533-position model. The record is from RNAcentral.